This 324-nucleotide ribosomal RNA is filed under the name uncultured bacterium. RNAcentral describes it as "bacterial SSU rRNA". It matches the Rfam family "Bacterial small subunit ribosomal RNA", at positions 471 to 794 of the family's 1533-position model. The record is from RNAcentral.
GACGGUACCUGACUAAGAAGCACCGGCUAAAUACGUGCCAGCAGCCGCGGUAAUACGUAUGGUGCAAGCGUUAUCCGGAUUUACUGGGUGUAAAGGGAGCGUAGACGGAUGGGCAAGUCUGAUGUGAAAACCCGGGGCUCAACCCCGGGACUGCAUUGGAAACUGUUCAUCUAGAGUGCUGGAGAGGUAAGUGGAAUUCCUAGUGUAGCGGUGAAAUGCGUAGAUAUUAGGAGGAACACCAGUGGCGAAGGCGGCUUACUGGACAGUAACUGACGUUGAGGCUCGAAAGCGUGGGGAGCAAACAGGAUUAGAUACCCUGGUAGU